AUUGAACGCUGGCGGCAUGCCUUACACAUGCAAGUCGAACGGUAACAGGUCUUCGGAUGCUGACGAGUGGCGAACGGGUGAGUAAUACACCGGAACGUGCCCGAUCGUGGGGGUUAACGAGGCGAAAGCUUUGCUAAUACCGCAUACGAUCUACGGAUGAAAGCGGGGGAGCUUCGGACCUCGCGCGGACGGAGCGGCCGAUGGCAGAUUAGGUAGUUGGUGGGAUAAAAGCUUACCAAGCCGACGAUCUGUAGCUGGUCUGAGAGGAUGAUCAGCCACACUGGGACUGAGACACGGCCCAGACUCCUACGGGAGGCAGCAGUGGGGAAUUUUGGACAAUGGGCGAAAGCCUGAUCCAGCCAUGCCGCGUGCAGGAUGAAGGCCUUCGGGUUGUAAACUGCUUUUGUACGGAACGAAAAGCCUCUUUCUAAUAAAGAGGGGUCAUGACGGUACCGUAAGAAUAAGCACCGGCUAACUACGUG
RNAcentral lists this ribosomal RNA (482 nucleotides) under uncultured bacterium. Its description in RNAcentral is "partial 16S ribosomal RNA". It matches the Rfam family "Bacterial small subunit ribosomal RNA", at positions 30 to 507 of the family's 1533-position model. The record is from RNAcentral.